RNAcentral lists this ribosomal RNA (253 nucleotides) under uncultured prokaryote. RNAcentral describes it as "partial 16S ribosomal RNA". It matches the Rfam family "Bacterial small subunit ribosomal RNA", at positions 524 to 776 of the family's 1533-position model. The record is from RNAcentral.
UACGUAGGCAGCAAGCGUUGUUCGGAGUUACUGGGCGUAAAGAGUGUGUAGGCGGUUCUCUAAGUUUGGUGUGAAAUCUCCCGGCUUAACUGGGAGGGUGCGCCGAAAACUGGAGGGCUUGAGUAUGGGAGAGGGAAGCGGAAUUCCUGGUGUAGCGGUGAAAUGCGUAGAUAUCAGGAGGAACACCGGUGGUGUAGACGGCUUCCUGGACCAUUACUGACGCUGAGACACGAAAGCGUGGGUAGCAAACAGG